Molecule: ribosomal RNA, 1495 nt
Filed under: uncultured bacterium
Lineage: Bacteria
Description: bacterial SSU rRNA
Rfam family: Bacterial small subunit ribosomal RNA
Source: RNAcentral
UUGAUUCUGGCUCAGGAUGAACGCUGGCGGCAUGCCUAAUACAUGCAAGUCGAACGGGGUGAAGCCUUCGGGUUUCAUUCAGUGGCGAACGGGUGAGUAAUACGCAGGGAACCUGGCCAUGGCAGGGGGAUACACUCUGGAAACGGAGCAUAAGACCCCAUAGGCAGUAAGGCGGCAUCGCCUUGCUGUUAAAGAAAGCUGAAAGGCUUUGGCGAUGGAUGGACCUGCGGUGCAUUAGCUUGUUGGUGAGGCAACGGCUUACCAAGGCGAUGAUGCAUAGCCGGCCUGAGAGGGCGGACGGCCACACUGGGACUGAGACACGGCCCAGACUCCUGCGGGAGGCAGCAGUAGGGAAUUUUCGUCAAUGGGCGCAAGCCUGAACGAGCAAUGCCGCGUGAGUGAGGAAGGUCUUCGGACUGUAAAGCUCUGUUGCCGGGGAAAAAGGGGAAAUGCAGGAAAUGGCAUUUCAUGGAUGGUACCCGGCCAGAAAGCCACGGCUAACUACGUGCCAGCAGCCGCGGUAAUACGUAGGUGGCGAGCGUUAUCCGGAAUGAUUGGGCGUAAAGGGUGCGCAGGCGGUCUGUUAAGUCUGAAGGCAAAGGGAUGAGCUCAACUCAUUUAUGAUUCAGAAACUGGCAGACUUGAGGACAGGAGAGGGCGGUGGAACUCCAUGUGUAGCGGUAAAAUGCGCAGAGAUAUGGAAGAACACCAGUGGCGAAGGCGGCCGCCUGGCCUGUGACUGACGCUGAGGCACGAAAGCGUGGGGAGCAAAUAGGAUUAGAUACCCUAGUAGUCCACGCCGUAAACGAUGAGGAGCAGGUGUUGGGAGUGAAAUCUCAGUGCCGAAGCCAACGCAGUGACUCCUCCGCCUGGGGAGUAUGCACGCAAGUGUGAAACUCAGAGGAAUUGACGGGGGCCCGCACAAGCGGUGGAGUAUGUGGUUUAAUUCGAAGCAACGCGAAGAACCUUACCAGGUUUUGACAUCGGAUGCGAAGGCGCAGAGAUGCGCUGGAGGCUAUCAUCCAGACAGGUGGUGCAUGGUUGUCGUCAGCUCGUGUCGUGAGAUGUUCAGUUAAGUCUGGCAACGAGCGCAACCCCCGUGGUAUGUUACUAACGCAUUUGGGCGAGGACUCAUAUCAGACUGCCGGUGACAAACCGGAGGAAGGCGGGGAUGACGUCAAAUCAUCAUGCCCCUUAUGGCCUGGGCUACACACGUACUACAAUGGCGUCUACAGAGGGAAGCGACCCUGAGAAGGGAAGCGAAACCGGAAAAGGGCGUCCCAGUUCGGAUUGAAGUCUGCAACCCGACUUCAUGAAGAUGGAAUCGCUAGUAAUCGCGGAUCAGCAUGCCGCGGUGAAUACGUUCCCGGGCCUUGUACACACCGCCCGUCAAACCAUGGAAGCCGGCAACGCCCGAAGCCGGUGGCAUAACCUUUUAGGAGUGAGCCGUCGAAGGCGGGGCCGAUGACUGGGGUUAAGUCGUAACAAGGUAGCC